This 57-nucleotide transfer RNA is filed under the name Araneus quadratus. RNAcentral's name for it is "tRNA-Met". Lineage: Eukaryota; Metazoa; Arthropoda; Arachnida; Araneae; Araneidae. The record is from RNAcentral.
AUAUUAUUAGUUUAUAUAAAAACAAUGGAUUGUGGAACCAUAACAACUUAAAUUAUU